CUUCCAGUAGCACCUUAGAGACCAACUAAGUUUGUUACUGGUAUGAGCUUUUGUGCAUGCACACGAAAGCUCAUACCAGUAACAAACUUAGUCUCUAAGGUGCUACUGGAAG
RNAcentral lists this microRNA precursor (112 nucleotides) under Podarcis lilfordi (Lilford's wall lizard). Lineage: Eukaryota; Metazoa; Chordata; Lepidosauria; Squamata; Lacertidae. The record is from RNAcentral.